Molecule: ribosomal RNA, 1469 nt
Filed under: metagenome
Description: bacterial SSU rRNA
Rfam family: Bacterial small subunit ribosomal RNA
Source: RNAcentral
AGAGUUUGAUCCUGGCUCAGAACGAACGCUGGCGGCAGGCUUAACACAUGCAAGUCGAACGCGUGUAGCAAUACACGAGUGGCGCACGGGUGAGUAACGCGUGGAUAUCUGCCUUUUGGUUCGGAAUAACUCCGGGAAACUGGAGCUAAUACCGGAUGGUUCCUUCGGGAUAAAGAUUUAUCGCCAAAAGAUGAGUCCGCGUACGAUUAGCUAGUUGGUGGGGUAAUGGCUCACCAAGGCGACGAUCGGUAACUGGUCUGAGAGGACGACCAGUCACACUGGGACUGAGACACGGCCCAGACUCCUACGGGAGGCAGCAGUGGGGAAUAUUGGACAAUGGGGGCAACCCUGAUCCAGCGAUGCCGCGUGAGUGAAGAAGGCCUUCGGGUCGUAAAGCUCUUUAGGUUGGGAAGAAGGGUGCGAGGGUAAUAUCCUUGUACUUUGACGGUACCGACAGAAUAAGCACCGGCAAACUCUGUGCCAGCAGCCGCGGUAAUACAGAGGGUGCGAGCGUUAAUCGGAUUUACUGGGCGUAAGGGGUGCGUAGGCGGUUUUAUGAGUGUGAUGUGAAAGCCCUGGGCUCAACCUAGGAAGUGCAUCGCAAACGAUAGAACUGGAGUAUGUGAGAGGGUGGCGGAAUUUCCGGUGUAGCGGUGAAAUGCGUAGAUAUCGGAAGGAACGUCGAUGGCGAAGGCAGCCACCUGGCACAAUACUGACGCUGAGGCACGAAAGCGUGGGGAUCAAACAGGAUUAGAUACCCUGGUAGUCCACGCUGUAAACGAUGAUAACUAGAUGUUGGUAGGGGAACCUAUCGGUAUCGAAGCUAACGCGAUAAGUUAUCCGCCUGGGAAGUACGGCCGCAAGGUUGAAACUCAAAGGAGUUGACGGGGGCCCGCACAAGCGGUGGAGCAUGUGGUUUAAUUCGAUGCAACGCGAAGAACCUUACCUACCCUUGACAUCCCGCGAAUCCUGCAGAGAUGUGGGAGUGCCGAAAGGAACGCGGAGACAGGUGCUGCAUGGCUGUCGUCAGCUCGUGUUGUGAGAUGUUGGGUUAAGUCCCGUAACGAGCGCAACCCUUGCCCUUAGUUGCCAGCAUUUAGUUGGGGACUCUAAGGGGACUGCCGGUGAUGAACCGGAGGAAGGCGGGGACGACGUCAAGUCAUCAUGGCCUUUAUGGGUAGGGCUACACACGUGCUACAAUGGGGCGUACGGAGGGUUGCCAACCCGCGAGGGGGAGCUAAUCUCUUAAAGCGUCUCGUAGUCCAGAUUGGAGUCUGCAACUCGACUCCAUGAAGUCGGAAUCGCCAGUAAUCGCGAAUCAGCAUUGUCGCGUUGAAUACGUUCCCGGGCCUUGUACACACCGCCCGUCACGUCAUGGGAGUGGAUGGUACCAGAAGUGGGUAGUUUAACCGCAAGGGGAACGCUUACCACGGUAUGAUUCAUGACUGGGACGAAGUCGUAACAAGGUA